RNAcentral lists this ribosomal RNA (481 nucleotides) under uncultured bacterium. Its description in RNAcentral is "bacterial SSU rRNA". It matches the Rfam family "Bacterial small subunit ribosomal RNA", at positions 28 to 526 of the family's 1533-position model. The record is from RNAcentral.
GACGAACGCUGGCGGCGUGCUUAACACAUGCAAGUCGAACGAGACCCCGUCUCCGGGUGGGUGUUCUAGUGGCGAACGGGUGAGUAACACGUGGGCAACCUGCCCCUGGCUCUGGGAUAACUCCAAGAAAUUGGGGCUAAUACCGGAUAUUCACUGCUGGCCGCAUGGUUGGUGGUGGAAAGAUUUAUCGGCUGGGGAUGGGCCCGCGGCCUAUCAGCUUGUUGGUGGGGUAGUGGCCACCAAGGCGACGACGGGUAGCCGGCCUGAGAGGACGACCAGCCACACUGGGACUGAGACACGGCCCAGACUCCUACGGGAGGCAGCAGUGGGGAAUCUUGCUCAAUGGGCGAAAGCCUGAAGCAGCGACGCCGCGUGCGGGAUGAAGGCCCUCGGGUUGUAAACCGCUUUCAGCAGGGACGAAAUUGACGGUACCUGCAGAAGAAGGCCCGGCCAACUACGUGCCAGCAGCCGCCGCAGUAAC